GCGGGUGUGGUAUAAUGGUAACACCUUAGCCUUCCAAGCUAAUGACGCGGGUUCGAUUCCCGCCACCCGCUCCA
Molecule: transfer RNA, 74 nt
Filed under: Psychrobacter immobilis
Lineage: Bacteria; Pseudomonadati; Pseudomonadota; Gammaproteobacteria; Moraxellales; Moraxellaceae
Also listed under: 204 other names
Description: tRNA-Gly
Rfam family: tRNA
About the family: Transfer RNA (tRNA) molecules are approximately 80 nucleotides in length. Their secondary structure includes four short double-helical elements and three loops (D, anti-codon, and T loops).
Source: RNAcentral